This 147-nucleotide small nuclear RNA is filed under the name Hucho hucho (huchen). RNAcentral describes it as "U1 spliceosomal RNA (ENSHHUG00000037237.1)". It matches the Rfam family "U1 spliceosomal RNA". From Rfam's summary of the family: U1 is a small nuclear RNA (snRNA) component of the spliceosome (involved in pre-mRNA splicing). Its 5' end forms complementary base pairs with the 5' splice junction, thus defining the 5' donor site of an intron. Lineage: Eukaryota; Metazoa; Chordata; Actinopteri; Salmoniformes; Salmonidae. The record is from RNAcentral.
CGACUUACCUAGCAGGGUACCUAGAUCACGAAGGAGGUUCCCCCAGGCCAAGGCUCGGCCAUUGAUGACCCCUGCGCGAAUUUCACAAACGUAGAAAUCUCGACUGCAUAAUUAGUGGAAGUGGCGCACUGCGUCCACAAUCUCCCC